RNAcentral lists this transfer RNA (66 nucleotides) under bovine gut metagenome. It matches the Rfam family "tRNA", at positions 5 to 66 of the family's 71-position model. From Rfam's summary of the family: Transfer RNA (tRNA) molecules are approximately 80 nucleotides in length. Their secondary structure includes four short double-helical elements and three loops (D, anti-codon, and T loops). RNAcentral also lists the same sequence under 1 other name. The record is from RNAcentral.
GUGUAGCUCAGCUGGAUAGAGCGUCUGACUACGGAUCAGAAGGCCGGGGGUUCGAAUCCUCUCACG